Molecule: non-coding RNA, 121 nt
Organism: Pteropus alecto (black flying fox)
Lineage: Eukaryota; Metazoa; Chordata; Mammalia; Chiroptera; Pteropodidae
Source: Rfam
CUCUGUUUAGUCAUGCUACCCUGAACAAGCCCAAUUCCGUCUGAUCUCGGAAGCUAAGCAGGGUCGGGCCUGCUUAGUACUUGGAUGGGAGACCACCUAGGAAGACCAGGUGCUGCAGGCG